Macadamia integrifolia is the source of this 441-nucleotide long non-coding RNA. RefSeq lists it as uncharacterized. The transcript is spliced from 4 exons. The record is from RefSeq and is a predicted model, not a curated record. Lineage: Eukaryota; Viridiplantae; Streptophyta; Magnoliopsida; Proteales; Proteaceae.
AGUAAAGAAGAGAGAGAGAAGAAGGAGAGAGAAGGAAAGAAGAAGGAAGAAAUGGGGAAGAAGAUGAUUGUUGUGCGUCGCCGGGGUCAGACCUCUUGAAUCCGAAACCGGAUUAGUGACCCUCAUCAUGAGAUCUACGUUUUGAGGAUUUUGAGGAAGAACUUACAAGAUUUGUGAAGCAUUUGUUGAUCUCUUGAGCUAAAGAGAAGAUUUGAGGUUUUUGAAGUGUUCUUGAGCAAAGAGGUUGUACUAGAAACUCGCGUCAUCACAUGCCAAAUCUUCCUCGUAUUAAGGGUGAUCAUUGUAUACAAUUAGUUGUUUUUCGAGGAACCGGGUCUACUCAGUUUGCAAUUCAAUUGUUUGGCUUCUCUCCUUGACCAAUGGCAUUGAAAACUUCGUCUCACUUUGAGGCUGUCCAUGUCAAGAUGUGUUACUAGAACC